GCUGGAGUUGUGGCUCAGUGGUAGAGUACUUGCCUGGCAUGUGUGAGGCACUGGGUUCAAUCUUCAGCACAGCA
RNAcentral lists this transfer RNA (74 nucleotides) under Marmota monax (woodchuck). RNAcentral's name for it is "tRNA.Ala". Lineage: Eukaryota; Metazoa; Chordata; Mammalia; Rodentia; Sciuridae. The record is from RNAcentral.